GACGAACGCUGGCGGCGUGCUUAACACAUGCAAGUCGAACGGAAAGGCCCUGCUUUUGUGGGGUGCUCGAGUGGCGAACGGGUGAGUAACACGUGAGUAACCUGCCCUUGACCUUGGGAUAACUUCAGGAAACUGGGGCUAAUACCGGAUAGGAGCUCCUGCUGCAUGGGGGGGGUUGGAAAGUUUCGGCGGUUGGGGAUGGACUCGCGGCUUAUCAGCUUGUUGGUGGGGUAGUGGCUUACCAAGGCUUUGACGGGUAGCCGGCCUGGGAGGGUGACCGGCCACAUUGGGACUGAGAUACGGCCCAGACUCCUACGGGAGGCAGCAGUGGGGAAUAUUGCACAAUGGGCGGAAGCCUGAUGCAGCAACGCCGCGUGCGGGAUGACGGCCUUCGGGUUGUAAACCGCUUUCGCCUGUGACGAAGCGUGAGUGACGGUAAUGGGUAAAGAAGCACCGGCUAACUACGUG
RNAcentral lists this ribosomal RNA (468 nucleotides) under uncultured bacterium. Its description in RNAcentral is "partial 16S ribosomal RNA". It matches the Rfam family "Bacterial small subunit ribosomal RNA", at positions 28 to 507 of the family's 1533-position model. The record is from RNAcentral.